CCUUCUUCCGACAGACACAUUUGAGAACCCCUUUCCUCUCUCUUCUCUCUACAACUCUCUUAACAUCAUGUGUUCAUGAAUGAAGAUACGGAGAUAUGAAGAUAUCUCUUCUAUAUCUUCAUGAGUGAAUUACCAAUCUUACGGCAUGUAACAUAUGAGAUAAAUAAUAAACAUUUCCUUUACCCCGUGGAUGUAGGCUUUGCCGAACCAGUUAUACCUUGUGUCCAAUUUCUUAUUUAUAUUUCUCUGCAUCUUAAUUUCGUUUUAUGAUUUCGAUCCAUAUUUGGUGUUUACUGUUUGUUAUAUCAUUUCAUUAUUUGGUUGUGCUAUCAAUUAAUGAAAGGAAAUUUGUUUGUGGACACCACCAUACCAUCAUUAUUUUCGUGUUCACAAGUAUGCUCUGUUAGUACUCUUGUACCCAUACUCUAGUAUCUUUAGACCUAGAAUUUUGGUUUUCUCGUAUCAUCUGAAGUGCAUGAUGCUUUAUAGUUAAAAAUGCUGGUGUCAUGGUAUGUGCUAAGAAACUAUUAAAUCCAUGAACUACUACAAAUAAGGUUGAGUUGAGAGCACAGUUCAUUUUAGAUCCUACUAUAGGUUAUCCAUUUUUGCCGAGAAUAGGUAAGAAACUAUUUAGGUUUGUUUGAUUUUAUUUCUUAUGCGUGAAUCAAUACAUUUUUCGGUUUUGAUCUUGUCUGGAAAUUAGUAACCUGUUUUAUAGCAUAAUGAAAAGAAUAUGUCAUCAAAAUGAUUUGAGUGAGGUUUUCUUUGUUUGUUUGCCUUAUCGUGUAUAUAUCCGUUGAUGACUGUGAGAGAUAACGGAGAAUUUCUCUUUUGUUUUGCUGAUCAGCCUUGCUCUUAACAAAUUCCUUGCAAUGGGACGACCUGCAUGGAAGGAGGCUCGCUCCACGAUUCAGAAAUUACUCUCUGCUGAUGAGCCAACUUUACGGGAGAAUGCGAGUUUGAGAGAGAAAGCAAUUCUGCCAAUGGUAAUAAAAAUAUUUAUAGGCUUAAUAAGUUUAGCUUGCGGUAUUGUAUUGGUUGAAAGCUGAACAAAGCUCCAAUUCUAGAGCUUCUGGUCCCAUUUGAGAGAAUAUAGACUAAUAGGAUCCAUGGAUUUUGAGAUUUUUUCGGUGUUUUUUGCUGCACACGAAAUGGGGUAGGUGAUCGAUAUUCAUACUUAUCAAACCUGCUCACUAAACAAAACCUUUACCCUAAUUCUAUUCUCCACACUUUUCUGUUCUCUCCUCUUUUUCUCUGCCGUCACCCUGUUUCUAUUCUGAACAGAUACUAGAGAAGAUGAUCUAACAAGUUACAUUUGCUAGGGAAGAUCAUCUAACAAAUAUUAUGGUAGCGGUACUACAACAGCAGUGAGGUCUACGAGAUUGAUAACGAAAAUGGAGGUGAGGGCUUGAAUAUGUGAAUCUGUGACUCAUAAUCGUGGUCCGUCGAAAGACUGAAGAUUUGCAUACUAGAAGAUAAAAAGAUCGGUCCUAACUGAAUUGUGUUGGUGUUUCUUUGUCUAAUUUGUGAUGUUCUAGGUGGCACAUAUGAUUAGAGAUGUCAAUACUAACCCAGCUUCAAUUGUCAAUUAGGAAGAGUGAAACAAAUAUGUGUACCCGUUGCAUCCGCAUGUAAUAUAAUUCUCUUCUAUAUUUUUUUACUACAUUUUGAGAAUAUAUUGUUUACUUUUAAACCCAUAGUUUGAGGUUUUCCCUGUAGUAUAUGUACUUUGUUCUGAAUGAAAUUUAAAAGUCGUAAACUGAAGUUCAUCUUGAGAUAAAA
Papaver somniferum (opium poppy) is the source of this 1782-nucleotide long non-coding RNA. RefSeq lists it as uncharacterized. The transcript is spliced from 3 exons. Lineage: Eukaryota; Viridiplantae; Streptophyta; Magnoliopsida; Ranunculales; Papaveraceae. The record is from RefSeq and is a predicted model, not a curated record.